UGUCUGGGAAACUGCCUGAUGGAGGGGGAUAACUACUGGAAACGGUAGCUAAUACCGCAUGACGUCGCAAGACCAAAGAGGGGGACCUUCGGGCCUCUUGCCAUCGGAUGUGCCCAGAUGGGAUUAGCUAGUAGGUGGGGUAACGGCUCACCUAGGCGACGAUCCCUAGCUGGUCUGAGAGGAUGACCAGCCACACUGGAACUGAGACACGGUCCAGACUCCUACGGGAGGCAGCAGUGGGGAAUAUUGCACAAUGGGCGCAAGCCUGAUGCAGCCAUGCCGCGUGUAUGAAGAAGGCCUUCGGGUUGUAAAGU
This 314-nucleotide ribosomal RNA is filed under the name Escherichia coli. RNAcentral's name for it is "bacterial SSU rRNA". It matches the Rfam family "Bacterial small subunit ribosomal RNA", at positions 114 to 431 of the family's 1533-position model. Lineage: Bacteria; Pseudomonadati; Pseudomonadota; Gammaproteobacteria; Enterobacterales; Enterobacteriaceae. The record is from RNAcentral.